UACGGAGGGUGCAAGCGUUGCUCGGAAUUAUUGGGCGUAAAGGGUAGGUAGGUGGUCUCAUUUGUCAGGGGUGAAAGCCUUGAGCUUAACUCAAGAAGUGCCCCUGAAACGGUGAGACUAGAGUGCUGGAGAGGGUCGCGGAAUUCCCGGUGUAGCGGUGAAAUGCGUAGAGAUCGGGAGGAACACCAGAGGCGAAGGCGGCGACCUGGACAGUUACUGACACUCAACUACGAAAGCGUGGGGAGCAAACAGG
This 253-nucleotide ribosomal RNA is filed under the name uncultured bacterium. RNAcentral's name for it is "partial 16S ribosomal RNA". It matches the Rfam family "Bacterial small subunit ribosomal RNA", at positions 524 to 776 of the family's 1533-position model. The record is from RNAcentral.